Molecule: long non-coding RNA, 6444 nt
Organism: Gadus macrocephalus (Pacific cod)
Lineage: Eukaryota; Metazoa; Chordata; Actinopteri; Gadiformes; Gadidae
Exons: 3
Source: RefSeq, a predicted model, not a curated record
UCUAAUAUAGGUCGUUGCAAGCUGAACGUCGUUAAUCGUUGCAGGAGAAACCUACCCGGACGGUCUCACAGCGGCGGAGCGCAGAUUACAAAAUACACUUUUGAUAAUAUUUACCACUAACGCACGACAUAAAACUUGAUAUAUAUAUUUUUUGUAUCAAGACGCUUUUUGUAGCGGGGUUUAGUGUUUAUGAAGGUGUCUGGUAUUACGCUGGAGUUUGUUCCUACGCAGUCGUUGGACGCGGCCCGCACACUUUCUGAACACUUCAGCGGUUCCUGUGAAAUGUGUGUUGAGACCAUGGACUCCAACUCCACACACAUCUCCACAAACUGUUCGACCAAACACAAAUUCGUGUCGAAGAUGAAGUGGAAAAUGCUUCGAACGAGGACGACGGAGGACACUUUCAAGAUGUUACACAAGACCGUGAAGACCGGUCACAGAUGCGUCCAUAAGGGAAAGCCGUCGACGCCCAGACCCGGUAAGGGACUCCGGCCAGUGGGGGAGGAAGAAGGGGGACACAGGAGGGCCAUGGCGCCGGAGAACACCACCCAGUACCUCAUGGCCCGCGUCUACGCAGACAUGUCGUCGCCUCUCGGUGACUCAUUCUCACCGCGCUCUGUUUACGACACCGCCGUAGACGUUUACGGGGAGUCGUUGUCGCCGACAAGCGUUUCCACGGCGUUGGACUCCAUUUACGACGACUAUCUCGCUUUCCAACAGCGGGACUUUGAGGAAGUUUUCGGCCUGUGAGCCGUCAUGCAAAUCAGGAACCGGACUAGCCGACGUGGUCUAACCGACGAGGCCUCGCGAGACUUGGCUGUGGCCUGUGGGCUCACCGAUGACACGUCUGUGGCAAAAGAGCUGAACCCGACACCGCCCGCAGUGUCGGGCGCACUCCCGAACAGCGCCAGCUGCCCACCGACGUCUGCCUCAAACCCGCCUCUCUCCUGGUCACCGCUUGCGUAAUGAAGGUAAACGCUACGGUAACGGAGAGCAGAUGGCAGGUACUACAAUGUCGAUACAUGUGUCCCAUUGCUAAGGUACCCAUUGUUGAGUAGACCGAUGGCAGUGUCCCAUCGUCUCGGUGGAGUGAGUGCACAUGAACAUGUAAACGUUGUCUGAGCCUUUUCCAGGUCACAGUGCCACGGACUCUGGGUUCGGCUGUGAACUGGAGCAGAAAGCGGAGAGUCUCCCUCAAAGAGAUGGACCAAGGUGACUCUUUGUAACGGGUUGUUAUGUUAUGAAGACUGGUUAACGUCCGUGUGUAAAUAAUGUACAGAAAGAUUUUUGCGUGUUGUGUUUUAGACAUUAAAAUAUUAUUUGGGAAAUAGUGUGAAUGUGUCAUGACUGUUUCUUAUGUCUCCAUUAAGUGACGAUACAAAGUGAUUUAUAAAAUAAAAUAUCGACUCUUGUUGUAAAAUAACGCUGUUCUUCAAAAAAAAAAAAACUACUUCCGGGAAGGACCAUGGCAAGAUGGCGUCCUCCACCCACUGUAACGUCCUCCUGUCGUCACCAGCUGCUGCCCCAUGAACCACGAAUAGGUAAACCAGGGUUUAGGUCGGGUUUAAAUGCCACGUCUGUUCAUGAACUGUGGAGAAUGUUGCGAUAGAAUAACAAAAUAAAUGCUAUUACACAACAUGUUUGCCUUGAAUUUGUCCAGGAAGGUUAUCGUCUGUGUUUAAACAUUGUGAGACAGUGUCGCCACUAUGGGGUCAGAACAGUCAUAAUGAAUGCACAGAAGGAUUCACAAAUGUAUUUUGUGAUUUAUAUAUAAAAAUUACUCUCUUCUCACAAAUGCAUUUCAAUGCACGCACAAAUGGAUAUCGGCAAGUUUAAAUGUAAAAUAAAUCCUUAAACAAAGUUUCUCAAACAUUUCGGAACCACACACAAAUGUGCCUUGUUUUAAGGCACAUUUGUGUCCGGAUCAGAAAUGUUUAUGGGUUUAUAUAAAUCCAUAAAUGAUAUUUAUGGAUUUACAUAAACCCUAAAUUUAUUAAAAUAUUAGCAUUUUUCAUCAAAUGAAUUCGGAUGUUACAUUUAUAUACAAACUGUUCAACUUGAAUUAACGAGACGCUUUUCAUUUGUGAACUUGUUUGCAUUUGUGCGUGAACUGGACUAUUUAUUUGUGGAUUUUUGAGACUCCUGACGUCGCUAGAUUUACUAAUGCAUUUUUUUCAACAAGGAACUCUGUAGCCAAUCAGAUGCCUCCCUCGUUUUGUGAAUCCAGCCACGUCAGGAGUCUCAAAAAUCCACAUAUAAAUACAGACCAGUUCACACACAAAUGCAACAAGUUCACCAAUGAAAAGCGUCUUGUAAAUUCAAGUUUAACAGUUUGUAUAUAAAUGUAACAACAUCCAAAUACAUUUUUAUGAAAAUUGCAAACAUUUUUUUAAUUCAUAUAUUUAUAUUGCAUUUAUUUAAAACAAGGUACAUUUGUGUGUGGAUCAAAAAUGUGUUUGUGAAACUUAUUUUUGUUUAUGGACAAAUUUUACAUUCAUACAUACUGAUAUCCAUUUGUGUUUGCAUUGAAAUGUAUUUGAAGAGAGUAAUUUAUAUAUAAAUCACAAAAUACAUUUGUGAAUCCUUCUCUGUGCAUUCAUUAUUAAUGAGACUGUUCUGACCGUUGACCGUAAGCACUAAUGUUUGAUACGCGUUUUUGACAGGGGACCUAUACUAGUAUACCGAGGCUAUAAGGGACUGCCAAACGAGUGGCUGUGUUGUGAAACUUCAGAUUUAAGGUUAAACGUGACCAUGUGUAUGGCAGAUUUAUUUGCUUACCUUAAAUAUCUCAAGUGUUAGACUGUCAGGAUGUGGUUGUAUUGGGUGGUCUGGGUAUACGGAACAUGCCUGCUAUUUAGUGGUAUGGUUAGGGUUGAGUUUACUGAACAUGUCAGGGUCUUGUGACCGUGUCUACAUACCUCUUACAGAUUUAUCGUGGAGCGUCUUUCUUUUGGUACUUUGUAUUUAUUUUUGACGCGAUAUGAAUAAAUUCGCGAAACAUGCGGUUCGAAUAAGGUAAUGUAUGAGGUGUUCUCAAGUCGUGUGAUUUAAAAACGAUGCCAGUCUGGAAAUACCCUAGUUUUAAUGCCUCAACCUUUUGUGUUUUUUAAAUUCGGAGCAGAUUAUGCUUCAAAGUACCUACUAUUGACUAAAAGUAGUUGCUAUAUCUGCUGAAACAUUAAUUACUUGUGUUGUACGUCCUGGAACUUCUACUUGGAUAGGAUAAGAUGCUACACACUGCUAUAUUUGUGCACGGGGAAUGGAUAAAUUAAGCGAUUGGUGGUGCUUGGCACAUGGUUCUAUGAACAUCCUUUCUAUACCGACGGCGAUAUACUUGUAUUAAUUCAGAUAAAUGUAGGUCGUUUUGGAUAAAGCGUCAGCUAAAUGUAAUUUUCGCUGACAUCGGUGCUAAUGCUUAAGUGAUUACGUUUGAGCCAGAUCAGAUACUUUUUAUCGAUCCGUAUGGCCUCAAUAUAAUGCCGUCCUAAUGUAUGAAUAUAUUUAACCGUGGGUCCAGUCUACUAUAGUAAAAAAUAAACGCCUAGUUCACUCGCGAACAUCCCAUGACUUUGGAGAGCUGACAUAGCUGACACUUCCUGAUCCACAGUCGCGCCUUUCAAUAUUCUAUUAUGUAGGCUAACUGAAUAUAUCUCGUCAAACCAAAUUUUCCCAUUUUGGACAGAAAUGAAGUAUGUUGGUAUGAAUUACCACUCUGCCAACAACCUCGAUAGUAUGUCGGUAAGUGUUUUUGUGACACCCAAUCGUGGUUGGUCGCCCAAAAACUACGAGGCAAUUUUGUUCAGCAGCGGCCACCUCUGGCAGAAAGUAGUAACGGUGACUUCUAUUGCGCUGUCGUGUUGUUACACCAUGAUGCCAAAAGAUGGCAGUAGUUGUCAACUGAUAUUGAAAGGAAGCGAUCGUCAUGUUCAUGUUUUGUUGCAUGUCCAGGGUUUGAGGUCUGGUCUUCAGAUUAAAGUUCAUGUUCCAAGUGACAAGAACUAGCAUUACAUUUUCGAGUUGCCUCAUUUUAGUCUUUCUUCGCCCAUUUGCUGUGAUGGACCGGUCAAGAAACAAAUUUCAACUUUUGAUUGACGCAUUGGUUUCACCCAUUGCACCUUGCAGGUUCACGAUGGACAAUCCAGUGUGACGGUUAACAAUUGUACCCAAGGGACCCUGUGUUGCUGUUUCUUCCUUUAUUGAUAAAAACUGCUGCACAAGCGCCAAACAGCCUUUGUACUGGGCUUCUGGAAAAAGAGGGCAUAGGCCUACCAUCUAUUGUCCAUUAAAGGAAUGGAAUGGCCCCCUCUUCAUGCAGUACUCUAAUCAUUGAGGGCUGUCGACGUAUAUAAAUGUGUGUUGAGUUGUAGGUUAGUGUAGCCUUUAAACAUCAGUCAUUUUGAUGCCCAUUGGAACAUAACCAGGGGUUUCACAAUUAUAACAAUCAUUGUCAACUUGACUGAGAGCAAAUGUAAGCUUCUUCCGCCAACCGUACUGUAGCUGAAUCAUUUACUCCCAUGGGUUUAUUCUGUUUCAUAACAAGAGGGCAACCCGUCUGUCUGAAAUAUGUUAGCCAGGAGCUACUGAUAUGCAGUUGUGUUAUGGAAUUUGUUGGAAUGCAGUUACUAUGUGGCUGGUUGUCCUGGGGUUUCUUCAUCCUUAAGUGCCCCAACAGGCUAACACAAUAGCAGGAACGAUGGUUGGAUGGCCCUCUGGCCCCCUGGUGAUGUGUUCGUUUCGGUAUGGAGACGCCCAGGAGACCUCAUAAGGACAAGUUCAGUGCAUUCAUCUAAACAAAGGGAGCUGCAUAAAAAACCUUUCAAGUUUGCACUAAUGACAAGUCGGUCUCUUGUGGAGAGGAGAGCUUAUCAGCAUCAAAGAGAUUCUGCAAAACCUCAAUAUCCCCACCUCCAUAGUUGGGUGUGAAAAGCGUAUAUUUAUAUUUAAAUGGCUAGAAUGUUAUUUUCGUGAGGUAUUUCGAGGAGCAAUAUUGUCUGUUAAAUCAUUUAAUGUAAAGUGGAUGUUGGUAGCAUUUAUGCAAAGAAAAAAUGUGUGAAUGUUUAUUUCUCACAGUAAACACCCAUCCGUCUCCCAGCAGCAGUAAGAGGUAUGGAUUCUCUACAGAAACUAAGUACGGGGUUAGCUCCAGAAUCGCACACAUGUUGCUAGGAUAACAGGCUGUUGUCAGACAAGAAGGGGGUCACACCCCAUCACCACUUUCACCCUUACAGGGUUCUAAUAAUCGACUGUCCAUAGGGAAUUCCCUUGGUUGAUCCAGUCAUGUGUUGGUGUCAAGGAAGGAGAAGGCUGCAUGCGGCAUUCUUAAGGCCCUCCCUGACACACCAACCAGAUUAUCGGUCGUCGAACAUUCUGGUGAACUCGGUGACCUGAGUCUGCUCGGUGUUUGCUGUGCGAUCGGCCGUCAUCAAAGCUGCGGUGAUCUUUUCAAGCCCGUCUGGGUUAUUUUCCGCUGAUUGCACAUGUUGUUCCAUGACCAAAUCGGUCCGACUGCCUUUUCUGUCAGCGAUCAGCAGUCUGAAUGGUGUGUCAGGACCAUAAGUGACCUUCCAAGCUAAGUUCCAAUGCUUAACGUCAGAGGAGGUGAUAUCUCAUAUCGGAUAACAUAUAGUUGAUGUGUACGUAUGAAGCUCUGCUUUCAGGAAAUAGCUACGCUGAGCUAUGUGCUAUACAUAUUAUUUCACUGCUGUUGUACUUGCUGGUUGGUUCUACCUCCUCACUCGGCCAUUGGAUGGCCACCUGACCUAGUUGGGAACUCUUUCAUUGGCUUCCCCCCUGGGUGACUGCGUGCCUUCAACGUCGCAACAAAUCCUUAAAGUGGUUAGCAGCUGCAGUGGGCGAUCUUCUGUUCCCUGCGUUCGUUUUACUCCGACCGGCCAAACAUCCAGAUCAGGUCAGAGUCAGACCACGCCAUUACCCCUCAACCAAGCGGAGAACAGCCUUUUCUUUUUACACACUUUUUUCGAACUAGAACAAACAAGUUAUUUCUCUCGCACCAUCCACCCCUCUCUACCCCACCAGCCCCCUUCCAUCUCUCCCUCAUUCGUCUAUCAACGUAAUUGCGCUCCUUCCAAGAAUAGAAGCAAAGUGCCAAGGUCUGUCAAGGCGCCCGUGGUUAAAGUGUCCUUCAGUCCAGGAGACACAUCCUUAUUCUGCACUGGCUUGGUGAGGUUGGCUCCUCUUGAGUCUUCGCUUGUAUUGCUUUUAUCUACGUUUAAGCCUAUUAAGUAAUUUUUCCUUACCAGAAGUAGGCUAUUUCAUGUUUUGCACUUUACACCCUGACUGCUGUCUCUCUGUAUCUGUUUUACAUCAUCCGUCUAUUGCCUUCUUAACAAUCGUCUUACCAAUGUAGUUCGUAUUCUGGCCAUGUUUCAAAAUGUAAAAAGCAAUGCCUCUAGGGAAGGCUAGAGACAUCGGUGAAAGAGAUAA